GAUGAACGCUGGCGGCGUGCUUAACACAUGCAAGUCGAACGGUGAAACCUAGGAGAGUUGUUCGGAGAGAAACUAAGCGGGAUAGUGGCGAACGGGUGAGUAACGAGUGGGUAGAAUGCAUUACUCAAGGGGGUAGUGCUUGGAGACGAAGAAUAAUACCCCAUAAAAACAGCAAGGGACAUGUUAGAUAGUUGAAGGUGUAAGCGGUGUAAGAUGGACUUACGUCUGAUUGGUUUGUUGGUGAGAUAAAAGCUCACGAAGCCAACUAACAGUAGCCGGCUGGAGAGAGUGUACGGCCACAUUGAGACUGGGACCCGGCCCAGACUCCUACGGGAGGCAGCAGAGGGGAAUUUUGCACAAUGGGGGAAACCCUGAUGCGGCGACGCCGGGUGAUUUAGAAGGCCUUCGGGUUGUAAAAAUCUUUUGUAUAGGAAGAAAAUGACGGUACUAGACGAAUAAGCUCCGGCUAAUUACGUG
RNAcentral lists this ribosomal RNA (477 nucleotides) under uncultured bacterium. RNAcentral's name for it is "partial 16S ribosomal RNA". It matches the Rfam family "Bacterial small subunit ribosomal RNA", at positions 28 to 507 of the family's 1533-position model. The record is from RNAcentral.